GAUGAACGCUGGCGGUCUGCUUAACACAUGCAAGUCGAACGGGUACUUCGGUACUAGUGGCGGACGGGUGAGUAACGCGUGAGAAUCUAGCUUCAGAAUGGGGACAACAGAGGGAAACCGCUGCUAAUACCCGAUGUGCCGAAAGGUGAAAGAUUUAUCGUCUGAAGAUGAGCUCGCGUCCGAUUAGCUAGUUGGUAGGGUAAAAGCCUACCAAGGCGACGAUCGGUAGCUGGUCUGAGAGGAUGACCAGCCACACUGGGACUGAGACACGGCCCAGACUCCUACGGGAGGCAGCAGUGGGGAAUUUUCCGCAAUGGGCGAAAGCCUGACGGAGCAAGACCGCGUGAGGGAGGAAGGCUCUUGGGUUGUAAACCUCUUUUCUCUGGGAAGAAGCUCUGACGGUACCAGAGGAAUCAGCAUCGGCUAACUCCGUGCCAGCAGCCGCGGUAAUACGGAGGAUGCAAGCGUUAUCCGGAAUUAUUGGGCGUAAAGCGUCCGUAGGUGGCAAUUCAAGUCUGCCGUUAAAACCAGUGGCUUAACUACUGAGGGGCGGUGGAAACUGAAUAGCUAGAGUGUGGUAGGGGUAGAGGGAAUUCCCAGUGUAGCGGUGAAAUGCGUAGAGAUUGGGAAGAACACCGGUGGCGAAAGCGCUCUGCUGGACCACAACUGACACUCACAGGACGAAAGCUAGGGGAGCGAAAGGGAUUAGAUACCCCUGUAGUCCUAGCCGUAAAC
This 735-nucleotide ribosomal RNA is filed under the name Phormidium sp. DVL1003c. RNAcentral describes it as "bacterial SSU rRNA". It matches the Rfam family "Bacterial small subunit ribosomal RNA", at positions 28 to 807 of the family's 1533-position model. Lineage: Bacteria; Bacillati; Cyanobacteriota; Cyanophyceae; Oscillatoriales; Oscillatoriaceae. The record is from RNAcentral.